Molecule: ribosomal RNA, 288 nt
Filed under: uncultured Nevskia sp.
Lineage: Bacteria; Pseudomonadati; Pseudomonadota; Gammaproteobacteria; Nevskiales; Nevskiaceae
Description: partial 16S ribosomal RNA
Rfam family: Bacterial small subunit ribosomal RNA
Source: RNAcentral
AUACUGAUGGACUAGCAGNACGGUAGAGGGAGGCGGAACUCCNNGUGUAGCGGUGAAAUGCGUAGAUAUNUGGAAGAACACCGAUGGCGAAGGCAACCUCCUGGGCCUGUUCUGACGCUGAKGCACGAAAGCGUGGGUAGCAAACAGGAUUAGAUACCCUGGUAGUCCACGCYGUAAACGAUGAGAACUUGACGUCGGGUCGCUUARCGAUUCGGUGUCNAAGCUAACGCGCUAAGUUCUCCGCCUGGGGAGUACGGCCGCAAGGUUGAAACUCAAAGGAAUUGACGG